CCUACGGGGGGCAGCAGUGAGGAAUAUUGGUCAAUGGGCGGAAGCCUGAACCAGCCAAGUCGCGUGAGGGAAUAAGGCCCUACUGGUCGUAAACCUCUUUUGCCGGGGAGCAAGGGCCGGGACGCGUCCCGGCCCGGAGAGUACCCGGAGAAAAAGCAUCGGCUAACUCCGUGCCAGCAGCCGCGGUAAUACGGAGGAUGCGAGCGUUAUCCGGAUUUAUUGGGUUUAAAGGGUGCGUAGGCGGGCUUCUAAGUCAGCGGUAAAAAUUCGGGGCUCAACCCCGUCCGGCCGUUGAAACUGGGGGC
Molecule: ribosomal RNA, 305 nt
Filed under: uncultured bacterium
Lineage: Bacteria
Description: bacterial SSU rRNA
Rfam family: Bacterial small subunit ribosomal RNA
Source: RNAcentral